Molecule: non-coding RNA, 117 nt
Organism: Podarcis lilfordi (Lilford's wall lizard)
Lineage: Eukaryota; Metazoa; Chordata; Lepidosauria; Squamata; Lacertidae
Source: the annotation of a GenBank genome assembly
GUCUACAGCCAUACUACCCUGAACGCGCCUUAUCUCGUCUGAUCUCGGAAGCUAAGCAGGGUCAGGCCUGGUUAGUACUUGGAUGGGAGACCAGAGGUUUGCAUGGGGGGGGAGCAC